Molecule: ribosomal RNA, 252 nt
Filed under: uncultured bacterium
Lineage: Bacteria
Description: partial 16S ribosomal RNA
Rfam family: Bacterial small subunit ribosomal RNA
Source: RNAcentral
UACGGAGGAUGCGAGCGUUAUCCGGAUUUAUUGGGUUUAAAGGGUUCGUAGGCGGGCUUUUAAGUCAGCGGUAAAAAUUCGGGGCUCAACCCCGUCCGGCCGUUGAAACUGGGGGUCUUGAGUGGGCGAGAAGAAGGCGGAAUGCGUGGUGUAGCGGUGAAAUGCAUAGAUAUCACGCAGAACCCCGAUUGCGAAGGCAGCCUUCCGGCGCCCUACUGACGCUGAGGCACGAAAGUGCGGGGAUCGAACAGG